AGUGAACGCUGGCGGUAGGCCUAACACAUGCAAGUCGAACGGCAGCACAGUAAGAGCUUGCUCUUACGGGUGGCGAGUGGCGGACGGGUGAGGAAUACAUCGGAAUCUACUUUUUCGUGGGGGAUAACGUAGGGAAACUUACGCUAAUACCGCAUACGACCUACGGGUGAAAGCAGGGGAUCUUCGGACCUUGCGCGAUUGAAUGAGCCGAUGUCGGAUUAGCUAGUUGGCGGGGUAAAGGCCCACCAAGGCGACGAUCCGUAGCUGGUCUGAGAGGAUGAUCAGCCAGACUGGCACUGAGACACGGUCCUGACUCCUACGGGAGCCAGCAGUGGGGACUAUUCGACAAUGGGAGCCAGCCUGACCCAGCCAUCCCGCGUGGGUGAAGAAGACCUUCCGGUUGUAAAGCCCUUUUGUUGGGAAAGAAAAGCAGCACGUUCAUAACAAGCUGUUCUGACGGUACCCAAAGAAUAAGCAACGGCUAACUUCGUG
This 492-nucleotide ribosomal RNA is filed under the name uncultured bacterium. RNAcentral describes it as "partial 16S ribosomal RNA". It matches the Rfam family "Bacterial small subunit ribosomal RNA", at positions 29 to 507 of the family's 1533-position model. The record is from RNAcentral.